This 235-nucleotide long non-coding RNA is filed under the name Elaeis guineensis (African oil palm). Its description in RNAcentral is "long non-coding RNA (EGUI_LNC066766)". The record is from RNAcentral. Lineage: Eukaryota; Viridiplantae; Streptophyta; Magnoliopsida; Arecales; Arecaceae.
GUUUCAACCCAAAAUCAUAGCAGGAAACCAUGUGGGGCAUCCCCUAUAAAUAGGGAACCAAGGGACGUCACAAGGGAUGAAUGGGCGCCAACCUUUGGCACUCCAACUUCUCAUAUGGUAAAUAAAUUCAUCAUAUGGAAUUUUUGGCACAUCAUAUGCUUGCAAUAGAAGGACUCUUCCAUUUCUAUGUGCCAUAAAAAUUUCACAUUAAAUUGGUGUUAAAUCAUAGGAUAUC